Molecule: ribosomal RNA, 253 nt
Filed under: uncultured bacterium
Lineage: Bacteria
Description: partial 16S ribosomal RNA
Rfam family: Bacterial small subunit ribosomal RNA
Source: RNAcentral
UACGUAGGGGGCAAGCGUUGUCCGGAUUUAUUGGGCGUAAAGAGCGUGUAGGCGGCCAGACAAGUCCGUUGUGAAAACUCGAGGCUCAACCUCGAGACGUCGGUUGAAACCACCUGGCUAGAGUCCGGAAGAGGAGAGUGGAAUUCCCGGUGUAGCGGUGAAAUGCGCAGAUAUCAGGAAGAACACCCGUGGCGAAGGCGGCUCUCUGGGACGGUACUGACGCUGAGACGCGAAAGCGUGGGGAGCGAACAGG